Durio zibethinus is the source of this 3027-nucleotide RNA transcript. It is a transcript of the gene named cullin-1, with no coding region annotated. Lineage: Eukaryota; Viridiplantae; Streptophyta; Magnoliopsida; Malvales; Malvaceae. The record is from RefSeq and is a predicted model, not a curated record.
UUUUAAAGAAAAUUAAUAAAAACGGCGAAUAAUAAAAAAGUACAGUAAAAAAAAAAAACAAAAGCAACCUGAGAAAAAAGAUCUGAACCUCGAAAGGAUCUUUCAGCAAAAAAAAAAAAAAAAUCCCUUUCUUUCUUCAAUGCUUUGUCGGAACUCAGCUUUCACUCUUCAUAUUCAUUAGGAAUUUUCUUGCUUUAUCUACGAUUUCAGAUUCUGGCGCUUAGGGUUUUGAUAAUCACGGAGACGACGUGGUUCAAUGACGAUGAAUGAAAGGAAGACGAUCGACCUUGAACAAGGAUGGGAAUUUAUGCAAAAAGGAAUUACAAAGCUGAAGAACAUUCUCGAAGGCUUACCGGCGCCACAGUUUAGCUCUGAGGAUUAUAUGAUGCUUUAUACAACCAUUUACAAUAUGUGUACCCAAAAGCCUCCUCAUGACUAUUCUCAACAGUUGUAUGAUAAGUAUCGAGAAUCUUUUGAAGAAUACAUUACUUCAACGGUACUUCCAUCUUUACGAGAAAAGCAUGACGAGUUUAUGUUAAGAGAGCUCGUGAAAAGGUGGGCUAAUCAUAAAGUAAUGGUUAGGUGGCUUUCUCGGUUCUUCCAUUAUCUUGAUCGCUACUUUAUUGCUCGGAGGUCACUGCCUCCCCUUAAUGAAGUUGGACUCACAUGUUUCCGAGAACUGGUCUACCAAGAGCUAAAUGCAAAAGUGAGGGAUGCUGUAAUUUCUCUUAUUGAUCAAGAACGUGAGGGUGAGCAGAUUGAUCGAGCUUUGUUGAAGAAUGUUUUAGAUAUAUUCGUUGAAAUCGGAAUGGGGCAAAUGGAUUGCUAUGAGAAUGACUUUGAGGCCACUGUGCUUGAAGAUACAGCUGCAUAUUAUUCAAGGAAGGCUUCAAAUUGGAUUUUAGAUGAUUCUUGUCCAGACUAUAUGUUGAAAGCUGAGGAGUGUUUAAAACGAGAGAAAGAUAGGGUCUCACAUUACUUGCAUUCUAGUAGUGAGACAAAACUACUUGAGAAAGUUCAACAUGAGGUGUUAUCUGUAUGUGCAAACCAACUGCUUGAUAAAGAGCACUCUGGAUGCCAUGCAUUGCUCAGAGAUGACAAGGUGGAGGAUUUAUCAAGAAUGUUUAGACUCUUUUCUAAAAUUCCUCGAGGGUUAGAUCCUGUGUCAAGCAUUUUCAAACAGCAUGUUACUGCUGAAGGCACAGCUUUGGUCAAACAGGCUGAGGAUGCUGCAAGCAACAAAAAGGCAGAUAAAAAGGAUGUGGUUGGCAUGCAAGAGCAGGUUUUUGUGAGGAAAGUGAUUGAGCUGCAUGACAAAUACCUAGCAUAUGUCAAUGAUUGUUUUCAAAUUCAUACUCUGUUUCACAAGGCUCUCAAGGAGGCUUUUGAAGUCUUUUGCAACAAAGGUGUUGCAGGAAGCUCAAGUGCUGAGCUACUUGCCACUUUUUGUGAUAAUAUUCUCAAGAAAGGUGGAAGUGAGAAAUUGAGUGAUGAAGCAAUCGAAGAAACACUUGAAAAGGUUGUGAAACUACUUGCUUAUAUUAGUGACAAGGACUUGUUUGCUGAAUUCUAUAGGAAAAAGCUUGCUCGAAGGCUUCUUUUUGACAAGAGUGCUAAUGAUGACCAUGAGAGAAGUAUUUUGACAAAGCUAAAACAACAGUGUGGCGGUCAGUUCACCUCAAAGAUGGAGGGAAUGGUCACAGAUUUGACGUUGGCGAGGGAAAACCAGGCAAGUUUUGAGGAGUACUUGAGCAAUAAUCCAAAUGUAAAUCCAGGGAUUGACUUGACAGUAACUGUUUUGACUACUGGCUUCUGGCCAAGUUACAAGUCUUUUGAUCUCAACCUUCCUGCUGAGAUGAUUAAGUGUGUUGAAGUUUUCAGGGAAUUCUAUCAGACAAAAACAAAACAUAGAAAACUUACUUGGAUAUAUUCUUUGGGUACUUGUAACCUUAUCGGGAAGUUUGAACCAAAAACGACGGAGUUGAUUGUCACAACAUAUCAGGCCUCUGCCUUACUGCUGUUCAAUACUUCAGAUAGGUUGAGCUAUUCAGAGAUUAUGACACAAUUGAACUUAACUGAUGAUGAUGUAGUUAGACUUCUACAUUCCCUGUCAUGUGCGAAGUAUAAAAUUCUUAACAAGGAACCAAGCACGAAAACCAUCUCUUCCACUGAUCAUUUUGAGUUCAACUCCAAAUUUACUGAUAAAAUGAGGAGGAUCAAGAUUCCUCUCCCCCCUGUGGAUGAGAAGAAGAAAGUAAUCAAAGAUGUGGACAAGGAUAGAAGGUAUGCCAUUGAUGCCUCAAUUGUGCGCAUCAUGAAGAGUAGGAAAGUUCUGGGUCACCAGCAGUUGGUUAUGGAGUGUGUAGAGCAGUUGGGCCGCAUGUUCAAGCCUGAUUUUAAGGCGAUCAAAAAGCGAAUUGAGGACCUGAUUACUCGAGACUAUCUUGAGAGGGACAAGGAUAACCCCAAUAUAUUCAGGUACUUGGCAUGAUAUGGCCUAGUCAUUAUCCCAAUGAAGUGGUGACUAUUGCUGCUGCAAAUAGCUCAAAAUGGGUUCGCGGUGAAAGUGGCACAAGCAUAACGAGAUGCCACCUGAUGAGUGCUUUCGGUGACUGCUUAGCAGAGCUAAGAUGCUUGUACAGUAGGAGCCAGGACCAUUUCCUUCCUUGGUUUAACCAGUUGAGCAUGUUAAUGAGAAAGUUAAUGAGAAAGUGUGGUCGGAAGCAUCUGCCAUAGCUAGCUAGAGGGUGCGAUCUGGAUGCCCACUUGCUCCAUAGUUUUACUUCAUUUUGGUAAGAUUGAAACAAACUUAGGGAAGAGAAUUAGGCAAUCUUAACUUCUGCUACACAUUAGGCAAAGGGUUCUCUUUUAUUUCAAAACUUCUAUGUCCAUUUUGCCUGCUUGAUUCACUUCUUGGGCUGACUUCUUGUAUCAGAUUGUGAUAACUGGGAUGGUUCAUAUUUUUACUGAAUAAUUAUUAAAGAUCUAAGUCAGAGAAUAUCGGUAUAGUGAAAUUGAAAUUGUUGU